Molecule: ribosomal RNA, 468 nt
Filed under: uncultured bacterium
Lineage: Bacteria
Description: partial 16S ribosomal RNA
Rfam family: Bacterial small subunit ribosomal RNA
Source: RNAcentral
GACGAACGCUGGCGGCGUGCUUAACACAUGCAAGUCGAACGGAAAGGCCCUGCUUUUGUGGGGUGCUCGAGUGGCGAACGGGGGAGUAACACGUGAGUAACCUGCCCUUGACUUUGGGAUAACUUCAGGGAACUGGGGCUAAUACCGGAUAGGAGCUCCUGCUGCAUGGGGGGGGUUGGAAAGUUUCGGCGGUUGGGGAUGGGCUCGAGGCUUAUCAGCUUGUUGGUGGAGUAGUGGCGUACCAAGGCUUUGACGGGUAGCCGGCCUGAGAGGGGGGACGGCGACAUUGGGACUGCGGUACGGCCCAGACGCCUACGGGAGGCAGCAGUGGGGAAUAUUGCAGAGUGGGCGGAAGCCUGAUACAGCAACGCCGCGUGCGGGAUGACGUCCUUCGGGUUGUAAACCGCUUUCGCCUGUGACGAAGCGUGAGUGACGGUAAUGGGUAAAGAAGCACCGGCUAACUACGUG